RNAcentral lists this ribosomal RNA (292 nucleotides) under uncultured bacterium. Its description in RNAcentral is "partial 16S ribosomal RNA". It matches the Rfam family "Bacterial small subunit ribosomal RNA", at positions 505 to 796 of the family's 1533-position model. The record is from RNAcentral.
GUGUCAGCCGCCGCGGUAAUACGUAGGGGGCAAGCGUUGUCCGGAAUCAUUGGGCGUAAAGCGCGUGUAGGCGGCUGAGCAAGUCUGUUCUGAAAGCCCGAGGCUCAACCUCGGGAGGCGAAUGGAUACUGCUCAGCUCGAGUCCGGAAGAGGAGUGUGGAAUUCCUGGUGUAGCGGUGAAAUGCGCAGAUAUCAGGAGGAACACCAAUUGCGAAGGCAGCACUCUGGGACGUGACUGACGCUGAGACGCGAAAGCGUGGGGAGCAAACAGGAUUAGAAACCCCCGUAGUCC